AGUCUGGGAGUGUUUAUAUCCCGGUGAGUUGAACACUUCAUGACUGAGAGCUGUCCUUCAUGACAACAGAACCCACAACAAACAUGACUUUUAUCACCAUCUUCAUCUGGACACUUGCUUUCUGCUUCAAGGAAUCUAGAGGACAAAUCACUGUGACUCAGACACCUACAGUGAAAACUGUUCUCGCCGGACAGCCAGUCUCUAUGAACUGUAAAACCAGCAGUGAUGUGUAUCCUGAUUGUUGGAGUUCAGGUAAACCAUGUUUAGCCUGGUAUCAACAGAAACCUGGAGAAACUCCUAAACUACUGGUCUACUAUGGAAGCACCCUCUUCUCUGGGACUCCAUCUAGAUUCAGUGGUAGUGGAUCUGGGAGUGACUUCACUCUGACCAUCAGUGGAGUCCAGGCUGAAGAUGCAGGAGAUUACUACUGUCAGAGUUACCACUACAUCAACAGUAAACAUGUGUUCACACAGUGAUACAGAGCCAUACAAAAACCUCCCUCAGUCAGACUGUACAGUGACUGUCC
Molecule: non-coding RNA, 526 nt
Organism: Oncorhynchus keta (chum salmon)
Lineage: Eukaryota; Metazoa; Chordata; Actinopteri; Salmoniformes; Salmonidae
Source: the annotation of a RefSeq genome assembly